RNAcentral lists this ribosomal RNA (497 nucleotides) under uncultured bacterium. RNAcentral's name for it is "partial 16S ribosomal RNA". It matches the Rfam family "Bacterial small subunit ribosomal RNA", at positions 28 to 507 of the family's 1533-position model. The record is from RNAcentral.
GAUGAACGCUGGCGGCGUGCCUAAUACAUGCAAGUCGAGCGAACAGACGAGGAGCUUGCUCCUCUGACGUUAGCGGCGGACGGGUGAGUAACACGUGGAUAACCUACCUAUAAGACUGGGAUAACUUCGGGAAACCGGAGCUAAUACCGGAUAAUAUAUUGAACCGCAUGGUUCAAUAGUGAAAGACGGUUUUGCUGUCACUUAUAGAUGGAUCCGCGCGGCAUUAGCUAGUUGGUAAGGUAACGGCUUACCAAGGCGACGAUGCGUAGCCGACCUGAGAGGGUGAUCGGCCACACGGGAACUGAGACACGGUCCAGACUCCUACGGGAGGCAGCAGUAGGGAAUCGUCCGCAAUGGGCGAAAGCCUGACGGAGCAACGCCGCGUGAGUGAUGAAGGUCUUCGGAUCGUAAAGCUCUGUUAUUAGGGAAGAACAAAUGUGUAAGUAACUAUGCACGUCUUGACGGUACCUAAUCAGAAAGCCACGGCUAACUACGUG